UCGAGCUACUACGGUAGUGAAGCCAUUGAUGCCAUGCUUCCAGGAAAAGCCUCUAAGCUUCAGAUUGUAAGGAAUCGUACCCCAAACCGACACAGGUGGUCGAGUAGAGAAUACUAAGGCGCUUGAGAGAACUCGGGUGAAGGAACUAGGCAAAAUGGUACCGUAACUUCGGGAGAAGGUACGCUCCUAGCGGUGAUGAGACUUGCUCUCUAAGCUGCCGGGAGUCGCAGAUACCAGGUGGCUGCAACUGUUUAUUAAAAACAUAGCACUGUGCUAAAUCGUAAGAUGACGUAUACGGUGUGACGCCUGCCCGGUGCUUGAAGGUUAAUUGAUGGGGUUAGACUUCGGUCGAAGCUCUUGAUCGAAGCCCAAGUAAACGGCGGCCGUAACUAUAACGGUCCUAAGGUAGCGAAAUUCCUUGUCGGGUAAGUUCCGACCUGCACGAAUGGCGUAAUGAUGGCCACGCUGUCUCCACCCGAGACUCAGUGAAAUUGAAAUCGCUGUGAAGAUGCAGUGUACCCGCGGCUAGACGGAAAGACCCCGUGAACCUUUACUACAGCUUGGCACUGAACAUUGACCCUACAUGUGUAGGAUAGGUGGGAGCCUUUGAAGCACGUACGCCAGUAUGUGUGGAGGCAAUCUUGAAAUACCACCCUUGUA
Molecule: ribosomal RNA, 660 nt
Filed under: Vibrio parahaemolyticus
Lineage: Bacteria; Pseudomonadati; Pseudomonadota; Gammaproteobacteria; Vibrionales; Vibrionaceae
Description: partial 23S ribosomal RNA
Rfam family: Bacterial large subunit ribosomal RNA
Source: RNAcentral